Molecule: ribosomal RNA, 309 nt
Filed under: Bacillus pumilus
Lineage: Bacteria; Bacillati; Bacillota; Bacilli; Caryophanales; Bacillaceae
Description: bacterial SSU rRNA
Rfam family: Bacterial small subunit ribosomal RNA
Source: RNAcentral
UACUACAUGCAAGUCGAGCGGACAGAAGGGAGCUUGCUCCCGGAUGUUAGCGGCGGACGGGUGAGUAACACGUGGGUAACCUGCCUGUAAGACUGGGAUAACUCCGGGAAACCGGAGCUAAUACCGGAUAGUUCCUUGAACCGCAUGGUUCAAGGAUGAAAGACGGUUUCGGCUGUCACUUACAGAUGGACCCGCGGCGCAUUAGCUAGUUGGUGAGGUAACGGCUCACCAAGGCGACGAUGCGUAGCCGACCUGAGAGGGUGAUCGGCCACACUGGGACUGAGACACGGCCCAGACUCCUACGGGAGG